CCACCUGAACCCAUGCCGAACUCAGAAGUGAAACGCCGUAGCGCCGAUGGUAGUGUGGGGUCUCCCCAUGCGAGAGUAGGACACUGCCAGGCA
This 93-nucleotide ribosomal RNA is filed under the name Yersinia aldovae. The record is from RNAcentral. Lineage: Bacteria; Pseudomonadati; Pseudomonadota; Gammaproteobacteria; Enterobacterales; Yersiniaceae. RNAcentral also lists the same sequence under 1 other name.